GGUGGUGCAUGGUUGUCGUCAGCUCGUGUCGUGAGAUGUUGGGUUAAGUCCCGCAACGAGCGCAACCCUUAUUAUCAGUUGCCAGCAUUAAGUUGGGCACUCUGGUGAGACUGCCGGUGACAAACCGGAGGAAGGUGGGGAUGACGUCAAAUCAUCAUGCCCCUUAUGACCUGGGCUACACACGUGCUACAAUGGAUGGUACAACGAGUUGCGAACUCGCGAGAGUAAGCUAAUCUCUUAAAGCCAUUCUCAGUUCGGAUUGUAGGCUGCAACUCGCCUACAUGAAGUCGGAAUCGCUAGUAAUCGCGGAUCAGCAUGCCGCGGUGAAUACGUUCCCGGGCCUUGUACAC
This 350-nucleotide ribosomal RNA is filed under the name uncultured Lactobacillus sp. RNAcentral describes it as "bacterial SSU rRNA". It matches the Rfam family "Bacterial small subunit ribosomal RNA", at positions 1037 to 1388 of the family's 1533-position model. Lineage: Bacteria; Bacillati; Bacillota; Bacilli; Lactobacillales; Lactobacillaceae. The record is from RNAcentral.